UGGCUUCCUGACAGUUUACUUUUCAUAAGACUCUGCGUAAGUUCUGAAAAUUCUCACAUCACCAGAGUGACAGAGAUCCACCUAUUAGUAUCUGAAUAAUAAGUCAUCGACUUUUUUUUUCAAGCUGAAAAUAUCUUUAUUUAAGACAUUUUAUUUGAAAACACUCUGGGUUGUAACUAUCCCAAACAAGCAAUAAAUGCACAUAAAUUAUCUGUGGUAAUGAUUCACUCUUAGGCUACAUUCCUUAGCAACUCUGAACUCAAGAGAAUGAACACAUAUUUCAAGUGUCCGAAUUAAGUAGAAUUACGAAAAACUGGAGAGCAAAAUAUUUUUUUAAAGGAUGAAAAUGUCUAAACCCAUGCAAGGUCAAGCUGAAAUGACCUUUACUUGGGCAGGGUCCUGUGGUCUGUACUCUGCUGCUGCCUUCCUUUCACACGGUGAUGCCACCUAUUCGCCAAGCGGAUUCAGUGUCUGAAUCUAGAAAUGUGGUUCAAGCCAGAAGGUUUUCUGAUCAUGAAAGAAGCAUUUCUCAUCUUGUCUAAACUACACCCUCUUUAAAAAUCAUAACUGUAAAACUUCCUGUAACAUACCCGGAGUUCUGAAUAAAUAAUAGUAAACCAAAGUAACUUUAAAAGUUUAAAUUUUUCCCUUUUAAAGUUUUGCUUUACACAUCAGUCAUGUGGGAUUGAUGUUAACCUUGUGCCUGGUUGCUGGCUACAAGCCUUUCUCUUCCAGGUCACUGAGGAGGGCAGAUAAGUAAGAGUUUAUUUUCAACAUCAACUCUCUCUGCUGCUUGUUCAAGUGAUAUGCAUGUAUGUCCUGGGGCUUCUCUGGUUGGGGCGGGUGAGAGGUAAAACAAGCAGGCUUCUUCCCUUGGGACUCGGGACAAUCUGUAACCCACUGCUGGCCUCAGGCAUGGGGAGGGAUACAGGAUUUCACUUCACCUUCAAGCCAUCCUUCUUCUAGUCCUUGGGGUUUCGUGCGCCUAUUGAUCUUGUAGCUGCCCAGCUGCCCAUUGCAGUGGCGGAUGAGGUCGUCCAUGCUGCUCAUGAGCAGCCCGAGGGUUUCGCAGCCAGGCUCCUUGCCCUCCACCCAGGUGAUCUGGUCGCCCCGGAUGUCCUUGGACGAGUCGCUCUUCUGGCUGACCAGCUGCCCGUCCGUGAACUUGCCGGUGUCGUGCAGCGCGCGUCUCGCGGCCCAGGAAGUCGUCUGUCACGCAGAUGCCGUGCUUGUUCAUGCACGGCACGAUGUACUGGAGCGCCAGCUUCAGCGCGGUCAGCGGCUUCGUCUGCCCGUUGGGCCGCGGUCCCCUGGUGCCGCCGCCAGGGUUCAGCGCCUCCCCGGGGCUCAGCAGGGUGCGCCCGGCGAACACCGGGUGGGGGAGCCUCGAGGUCGCGGCGGCCUCUGCUGGGGCCCCCAGCGGCGUCCCCGGGGACGGACACUGACAUGGGAUCGGCGCCGUCCCCGCGCAGUCCCGCCGUUGUCCGGGCCGCUCCCCCAACCCCAGGAGCCCCUUUGGGCCUGGCCUCGCCGCUCUGGCACACGAGCUUGUGCUUCUUCCAGUCCCGGCGCUGGUGCUCCUUGGAGCAGUAGAAAGAGCUCCGGCAGCGGCCGCAGCACAGCAGGUUCUCUAUCUUCCCGCACAGCUCGUAGUACUGGCGCUUGCGCUCGCUGGCGCUUGGCCCGCUGAGCCCGCCGCUGUCACUCGCCUUGGCAGAGCAGGCCGGGCGGCCGGCCCGGGGCGGCAGAGGGGCCGUUAGAGCGUCCGUCAGAGCGUCAUGCCGGGCCGCGCGCUCCGGAGACCCUCAGCGCCGCAUCGCGGCCCGCACGGUCCUGCAGAGCCUGCCUGGAUGUCCAGAUCUCAGCUGGACCCAGCUUAGAAUCUGUCGUGUCAGCCUUCAGGACUUCUGCCUGCCGGAGAUACUGCGCGCUCUGCAGGCUCAUCCUCCGCCGCCGCGUCUUCCCGUGAAGCCUCCGUGGGUCUCUUAGGCUCCUCAGAGGGUCCCCGCGGCCCCGCGGGUGCUGCCGGCCGCCGCCAUCUUCCUCUCCUCCAGCUCCUCCUCUCUAGGCGGGGCGGGGCGAUCUGGAAGUUCUCUUUCCUGAGUGUCUUUGGUUCCCCUGUCAGGACUGCUUCAGUGUUCUGAACAAAUUCAAAUGUUUGCCUUUCAUGCUUAUUUUGACUUUACAGCAAAAUCAGAAGUCUUAUGGAACCAGAGCUCAUGAAUAAAGUGAAGACAUACAAUA
This is a long non-coding RNA of Heterocephalus glaber (naked mole-rat), 2244 nucleotides long. Lineage: Eukaryota; Metazoa; Chordata; Mammalia; Rodentia; Bathyergidae. The record is from Ensembl.